Molecule: ribosomal RNA, 462 nt
Filed under: uncultured Desulfobulbus sp.
Lineage: Bacteria; Pseudomonadati; Thermodesulfobacteriota; Desulfobulbia; Desulfobulbales; Desulfobulbaceae
Description: bacterial SSU rRNA
Rfam family: Bacterial small subunit ribosomal RNA
Source: RNAcentral
ACAAGCGGUGGAGUAUGUGGUUAAUUCGAUGCAACGCGAAGAACCUUACCUGGUCUUGACAUCCCGGAGACCCUUAGGAAACUAGGGGGUGCUUCCAUCUGGAAGAAUCUGGAGACAGGUGCUGCAUGGCUGUCGUCAGCUCGUGUCGUGAGAUGUUGGGUUAAGUCCCGCAACGAGCGCAACCCUUGCCUUUAGUUGCCAGCAGUUCGGCUGGGCACUCUAAAGGGACUGCCGGUGUUAAACCGGAGGAAGGUGGGGAUGACGUCAAGUCCUCAUGGCCUUUAUGACCAGGGCUGCACACGUACUACAAUGGCCGAUACAAAGGGCAGCGACACUGCGAGGUGAAGCCAAUCCCGUAAAAUCGGUCUCAGUCCGGAUUGGAGUCUGCAACUCGACUCCAUGAAGUUGGAAUCGCUAGUAAUCGUGGAUCAGCAUGCCACGGUGAAUACGUUCCCGGGCCUU